GAUGAACGCUAGCGGCAGGCCUAACACAUGCAAGUCGAACGGUAACAGCAGAGCUUGCUCUGGCUGACGAGUGGCGCACGGGUGCGUAACGCGUAUGCAACUUACCCUUAACUGGAGGAUAGCCUUUCGAAAGGAAGAAUAAUACUCCAUAGUAUUUCAAAGAGGCAUCUCUUUGAUCUUAAAGCUUUGGCGGUUAAGGAUGGGCAUGCGUCCUAUUAGUUUGUUGGUGAGGUAACGGCUCACCAAGGCUACGAUAGGUAGGGGGCCUGAGAGGGUUGUCCCCCACACUGGUACUGAGACACGGACCAG
This 309-nucleotide ribosomal RNA is filed under the name uncultured bacterium. RNAcentral describes it as "bacterial SSU rRNA". It matches the Rfam family "Bacterial small subunit ribosomal RNA", at positions 28 to 334 of the family's 1533-position model. The record is from RNAcentral.